GUGAGCGGUCGCGUGUUGUCGUCGUUCCUGUUCUGGGUGUUUCGGGGUGGCGUUGGUGGCUCGGACUGUUCUGACUGUGUGUUUGUGCCUUGCUAGUGAUGUCUGGACAUGUUUCUCUGUUGGAUUUCGUGAAUGGAAGACGCUUUUGACAGAUUUGUUUCUGUGCACAAGACAAAUGGGGUAUCGCACUCCCGACGUAGGAAAUGAACACACACGUCGCUGAGAUCUUAAAAAACAAAGUAGGGUGUGCACUUCACCCAUGCAACUCCAAUGUCUGCUUCAUGGCAGUGCAAGCUUUUACAACCGUGCCCUUGAAUGUAACAAGCCAAAUAAACUGGAU
This is a long non-coding RNA of Ornithodoros turicata, 340 nucleotides long. RefSeq lists it as uncharacterized. The record is from RefSeq and is a predicted model, not a curated record. The transcript has 3 exons. Lineage: Eukaryota; Metazoa; Arthropoda; Arachnida; Ixodida; Argasidae.